This 488-nucleotide ribosomal RNA is filed under the name uncultured bacterium. RNAcentral describes it as "bacterial SSU rRNA". It matches the Rfam family "Bacterial small subunit ribosomal RNA", at positions 30 to 514 of the family's 1533-position model. The record is from RNAcentral.
AUUGAACGCUGGCGGUAUGCUUAACACAUGCAAGUCGAACGGUAGCAGGCCUUCGGGCGCUGACGAGUGGCGGACGGGUGAGUAAUGCAUAGGAAUCUGCCUAUUAGUGGGGGACAACGUGGGGAAACUCACGCUAAUACCGCAUACGCCCUACGGGGGAAAGCUGGGGACCUUCGGGCCUGGCGCUAAUAGAUGAGCCUAUGUUGGAUUAGCUAGUUGGUAGGGUAAAGGCCUACCAAGGCGACGAUCCAUAGCUGGUCUGAGAGGAUGAUCAGCCACACUGGGACUGAGACACGGCCCAGACUCCUACGGGAGGCAGCAGUGGGGAAUAUUGGACAAUGGGCGAAAGCCUGAUCCAGCAAUACCGCGUGUGUGAAGAAGGCCUGAGGGUUGUAAAGCACUUUCAAUAGGAAGGAAUACCUAUCGGCGAAUACCCGGUAGACUGACAUUACCUAUACAAGAAGCACCGGCUAACUCCGUGCCAGCAG